This is a long non-coding RNA of Falco peregrinus (peregrine falcon), 1002 nucleotides long. RefSeq lists it as uncharacterized. Lineage: Eukaryota; Metazoa; Chordata; Aves; Falconiformes; Falconidae. The record is from RefSeq and is a predicted model, not a curated record. The transcript is spliced from 2 exons.
GAUGCGGCACCGCCCGCGCCCCCGGCUCCGCGCGGCGGUCCCCGGGGUGCCGCUCCCCCCGCCCUCGCGUGUGCUGCCGCCGCGACCCGCGCCACGUUGCGUGCCGAGCGCCGCGCCCGCCGCUAAUCCCGGUUGGGCAGCGACGGGGGCCGCAGGGGCCGGGCCCGCCCCCCCGCCCCUUGAACCUCUUCGGGAUGCACGGCGAGGCCGGGGGUAAGGGGAGGGGGUGCAGAUGGCGUGUCUUGCGUGGGAAUGUCACCCGAGCCAUCGCCCCGCAGCGCAAAGCAAACAUGCACUCGCCCGUGGCGGACGCUCAAAGGCUGCCCAAAAAUUGGAUCAACAGAAUGAUUCCUGUCUCACAGCAAAACAGAGGUGGGCUGCUCAGACAGUGGCAGACCUGGAAGAGGGUCCGGAUCUCUGGAUUCUUCAGUUGAUUUCAGCCUGCUUGAUUACAGCUUCCUUGCCUUGUAGUAAGUGUAUGAUCAGUAAUUCUGUCCAGGUGGUAAAGGCAAUAAGACAUACAGGAUUCAUCAUUUAUGCUUUCAAACCUUUAAAGCUCCCUGUGGAAUGACUGCCUUCUGACAGUUCUUCUUCGUAGGGAUCAGAAAAUAGUCCCUUCCCUGAUUUCUUGAAAACUGGUGUUUCCCAGCCGUGUAUAUCAUCAGCAAAUCAAAUAGAGACAAAUCUGGUCUCUCAUUUCCAGUUAAGCCUGUCGUGUUAUAUGGCACUACAUAAUAUGUCAAGAAACCAGUGCAGCUGAUCUGGCGUGUCAUUGCAGCAAAAGGAAAUUAAAGCAAAUACAGAUUUAUGAAAGAAGGCCCAUUUUUGGCACCAUGCAUGAAUUUCCUGGCUGACUGCUAAUACCAAAGUGCAGAUCAUCUAUUUGAUGUUAGCAAAGGGAAAUCCCAGCAAUUCAUGCCAUAGCAUUAAAACACAGGAUUCUAAAAAUAACAUUAAAGAGACGGACUGGAAACAACAAUAAAAACUAAAAAGAAAACCUUG